AGAGUUUGAUCCUGGCUCAGAUUGAACGCUGGCGGCAGGCCUAACACAUGCAAGUCGAGCGCGAAAGGCCUUCGGGUUGAGUAGAGCGGCGGACGGGUGAGUAACGCGUAGGAAUCUACCUGGUAGUGGGGGACAACUUGUGGAAACGCAAGCUAAUACCGCAUACGACCUAAGGGUGAAAGUGGGGGACCUUCGGGCCUCACGCUAUCGGAUGAGCCUGCGUAGGAUUAGCUUGUUGGUGAGGUAAAGGCUCACCAAGGCGACGAUCCUUAGCUGGUCUGAGAGGAUGAUCAGCCACACUGGAACUGAGACACGGUCCAGACUCCUACGGGAGGCAGCAGUGGGGAAUAUUGCGCAAUGGGGGCAACCCUGACGCAGCCAUGCCGCGUGUGUGAAGAAGGCCUUCGGGUUGUAAAGCACUUUCAAUUGGGAAGAAAAGUUUGUCGUUAAUAGCGUCAAGCUCUGACAUUACCUUUAGAAGAAGCACCGGCUAACUCCGUGCCAGCAGCCGCGGUAAUACGGAGGGUGCGAGCGUUAAUCGGAAUUACUGGGCGUAAAGCGCGCGUAGGCGGUUUGUUAAGUCAGCUGUGAAAGCCCCGGGCUCAACCUGGGAACUGCAGUUGAUACUGGCCGACUAGAGUACGAGAGAGGGAGGUAGAAUUCCAUGUGUAGCGGUGAAAUGCGUAGAUAUAUGGAGGAAUACCGGUGGCGAAAGGCGGCCUCCUGGCUCGAUACUGACGCUGAGGUGCGAAAGCGUGGGGAUCAAACAGGAUUAGAUACCCUGGUAGUCCACGCCGUAAACGAUGUCUACUAGCCGUUGGGAGACUUGAUUUCUUAGUGGCGCAGCUAACGCAAUAAGUAGACCGCCUGGGGAGUACGGCCGCAAGGUUAAAACUCAAAUGAAUUGACGGGGGCCCGCACAAGCGGUGGAGCAUGUGGUUUAAUUCGAUGCAACGCGAAGAACCUUACCAGGUCUUG
Molecule: ribosomal RNA, 978 nt
Filed under: uncultured bacterium
Lineage: Bacteria
Description: bacterial SSU rRNA
Rfam family: Bacterial small subunit ribosomal RNA
Source: RNAcentral